GCAUCACCCCGGUCGGCUUGCGCUUCAUACUUUCGAUGAGGUGCAUAACUCCAGCCCAGAACCGGUGCCCGAAUAGAUAGCCUACGUUUAUUGCUCUGUAGUCGCUUUCAUGAUAGCCUAUAGGUAGGCUAAAUAAUGUUAGUAGGCUAUACCGGUGAUUGAUUUGUUAAAGUAUGAAGAAGAUUCCAAAUAGAUUCGUUGUGGUUCCAUUCCAUGUUAAGAUUAUAUUAUCAGUUUAGGUCCUCGUCAUAUUUUUUUACCUCAUAGCCAUUCUAUCUAGUUUCGUUUGUUUAGAAUUCCGCGUGCAGUUUUAUCUGUUUAAGUGUUUAUCUUGGUUUGGCCAUAAUAACAUACAGUUCCAUCACUGCUUGUGCGUAAUGAUAGACUUAGAUAGACUACGCUGAGACGGUAAGAGAGCCCACAGCCUCCCGUACCUGAAUGGUAGGCUAUCGGACUCGAUUUAGUAAUUAUAUUCUAGGGCUGUCGAUUUCCGUGACUCGCUGCUGUUUUGUGAACGCUUCACCGCAAGGACAGCGACUAAUAAACCGGACAUUGCCACUUUAAAAACAGCCCCGGGUCAUUCGAAAAGCGCAGGACCAGAUGCUGCAUCGAAGCAUGAAGAAAAGAAAACAGAUGAAUGAAUGAAUUUCGAGAGCAAAAUUGACAGAUAAAACGCGCAUAAACUGACACAGCAAUGAUAUGAUUUAUAAUACAUUGUCAUGGGCUCUUCUGAGCGUGAGGGAGCAACAGUGUCCGGACUCGCCUGGGCUGUUUGUUGAGUUUGCUGGCAGAGGAGGAUGGGUAUUAAUGGAGACUGUCACAGGAGAGGAGGGUAACGACCAGGGGCCUGUUAAGGAGGCAAACAACGUUUUGAAACAGGGAG
Long non-coding RNA from Oncorhynchus mykiss (rainbow trout), 883 nucleotides. RefSeq lists it as uncharacterized. Lineage: Eukaryota; Metazoa; Chordata; Actinopteri; Salmoniformes; Salmonidae. The record is from RefSeq and is a predicted model, not a curated record.